AAAAAGGUAAGCUAAAUAAAGCUAAUGGGUUCAUACCCCGUAAAUAGGACUAUCCUCCUUUUUA
RNAcentral lists this transfer RNA (64 nucleotides) under Palaeoagraecia brunnea. RNAcentral's name for it is "tRNA-Met". Lineage: Eukaryota; Metazoa; Arthropoda; Insecta; Orthoptera; Tettigoniidae. The record is from RNAcentral.